ACUCCUACGGGAGGCAGCAGUAGGGAAUCUUCCACAAUGGGAGCAAGCCUGAUGGAGCAACACCGCGUGAGUGAAGAAGGGUUUCGGCUCGUAAAGCUCUGUUGUUAAAGAAGAACACGUAUGAGAGUAACUGUUCAUACGUUGACGGUAUUUAACCAGAAAGUCACGGCUAACUACGUGCCAGCAGCCGCGGUAAUACGUAGGUGGCAAGCGUUAUCCGGAUUUAUUGGGCGUAAAGAGAGUGCAGGCGGUUUUCUAAGUCUGAUGUGAAAGCCUUCGGCUUAGCCGGAGAAGUGCAUCGGAAACUGGAUAACUUGAGUGCAGAAGAGGGUAGUGGAACUCCAUGUGUAGCGGUGGAAUGCGUAGAUAUAUGGAAGAACACCAGUGGCGAAGGCGGCUACCUGGUCUGCAACUGACGCUGAGACUCGAAAGCAUGGGUAGCGAACAGGAUUAGAUACCCUGGUAGGAUAGCG
Molecule: ribosomal RNA, 473 nt
Filed under: uncultured bacterium
Lineage: Bacteria
Description: bacterial SSU rRNA
Rfam family: Bacterial small subunit ribosomal RNA
Source: RNAcentral